This 278-nucleotide long non-coding RNA is filed under the name Elaeis guineensis (African oil palm). RNAcentral's name for it is "long non-coding RNA (EGUI_LNC014947)". Lineage: Eukaryota; Viridiplantae; Streptophyta; Magnoliopsida; Arecales; Arecaceae. The record is from RNAcentral.
CAGUGUAGGGAUACUGGGAUAAGGGUACGGGUGGUUGUUAGAGAACAACUUGCAUUGAGCGUGACCAACACGUGUGAGAAAUCACUUGGAUGUCUACUCAUUCAUCAGUGAUCUUCUCGAUGCUGCAAUGGUGUGAGUGGUCCUUUGACCUGUGGUGUCAUCAACUAUUCACAGUGAGGCUAUUGAGUUUGACUGUAUAUUUUUUUGAUCUCUAGCCAUUCGGAUCUUUACUGUGUAUGUUGGCUACAGUAGAUUCAGAUUCGCUGUUUAUAGUAGGA